This 468-nucleotide ribosomal RNA is filed under the name uncultured bacterium. RNAcentral describes it as "partial 16S ribosomal RNA". It matches the Rfam family "Bacterial small subunit ribosomal RNA", at positions 28 to 507 of the family's 1533-position model. The record is from RNAcentral.
GACGAACGCUGGCGGCGUGCUUAACACAUGCAAGUCGAACGGAAAGGCCCUGCUUUUGUGGGGUGCUCGAGUGGCGAACGGGUGAGUAACACGUGAGUAACCUGCCCUUGUCUUUGGGAUAACUCCAGGAAACUGGGGCUAAUACCGGAUAGGAGCUCCUGCUGCAUGGGGGGGGUUGGAAAGUUUCGGCGGUUGGGGCUGGAUUCGCGGCUUAUCGGCUAGUUGGUGGGGUAGGGGCUUACCAAGGCUUUGACGGCUAGCCGGCCUGAGAGGGUGACCGGGCACAAGAGUACUGCGAGACGGCGCAGUCGGCAACGUGACGCAGCAGUCGAGAGUAUUGCAGAAUGAGCGGGAGCCUGAGACAACAACGUCGGGUUCGGAAUGACCUGCUUCUAGUGAUGAACCACUUUCGCCGGUGACAAGCCGUUAUUGACGGUAAUGAGUAAGGAAGCACCGGCUAACUACGUG